CACUGUCAUCCUACGGGGAGGCAGCAGUGGGGGAAUAUUGCACAAUGGGCGCAAGCCUGAUGCAGCCAUGCCGCGUGUAUGAAGAAAGGCCUUCGGGUUGUAAAGUACUUUCAGCAGUGAGGAAGGUGGGGUAUGUUAAUAGCAUACUCAUUUGACGUUUAGCUGCAGAAGAAAGCACCGGCUAACUCCGUGCCAGCAGCGCGGAAUACGGAGGGUGCGAGCGUUAAUCGGAAUUACUGGGCGUAAAGCGCAUGCAGGUGGUUUGUUAAGUCAGAUGUGAAAGCCGGGCGUCAACCUCGGAAUUGCAUUUGAAACUAGGCAGACUAGAGUACUGUAGAGGGGGGUAGGAAUUUCAGGUGUAGCGGUGAAAUAGCGUAGAGAUCUGAAGGAAUACCGGUGGCGAAGGCGGCCCCCUCGGACAGAUACUGACACUCAGAUGCGAAAGCCGUGGGGAGCAAACAGGAUUAGAUACCCUGGUAG
Molecule: ribosomal RNA, 480 nt
Filed under: uncultured bacterium
Lineage: Bacteria
Description: bacterial SSU rRNA
Rfam family: Bacterial small subunit ribosomal RNA
Source: RNAcentral